RNAcentral lists this ribosomal RNA (253 nucleotides) under uncultured bacterium. RNAcentral describes it as "partial 16S ribosomal RNA". It matches the Rfam family "Bacterial small subunit ribosomal RNA", at positions 524 to 776 of the family's 1533-position model. The record is from RNAcentral.
UACAGAGGCCUCGAGCGUUAGGCGGAAUCACUGGGCUUAAAGCGCGUGUAGGCGGAUCGUUAAGUGUCUUGUGAAAUCCCACGGCUCAACCGUGGAACUGCUGGGCAUACUGGCGAUCUUGGGCCACUCAGGGGCAACCGGAACAAGCGGUGGAGCGGUGAAAUGCGUAGAUAUCGCUUGGAACGCCAAAGGUGAAGACAGGUUGCUGGGGGUGUGCCGACGCUGAGACACGAAAGCCAGGGGAGCGAACGGG